GCCUGAUGCAGCGACGCCGCGUGAGGGAUGACGGCCUUCGGGUUGUAAACCUCUUUCAGUAGGGAAGAAGCCGUAAGGUGACGGUACCUGCAGAAAAAGCGCCGGCUAACUACGUGCCAGCAGCCGCGGUAAUACGUAGGGCGCAAGCGUUAUCCGGAAUUAUUGGGCGUAAAGAGCUCGUAGGCGGUUUGUCGCGUCUGCUGUGAAAGACCGGGGCUCAACUCCGGUUCUGCAGUGGGUACGGGCAGACUAGAGUGCAGUAGGGGAGACUGGAAUUCCUGGUGUAGCGGUGAAAUGCGCAGAUAUCAGGAGGAACACCGAUGGCGAAGGCAGGUCUCUGGGCUGUAACUGACGCUGAGGAGCGAAAGCAUGGGGAGCGAACAGGAUUAGAUACCCUGGUAGUCCAUGCCGUAAACGUUGGGCACUAGGUGUGGGGGACAUUCCACGUUUUCCGCGCCGUAGCUAACGCAUUAAGUGCCCCGCCUGGGGAGUACGGCCGCAAGGCUAAAACUCAAAGGAAUUGACGGGGGCCCGCACAAGCGGCGGAGCAUGCGGAUUAAUUCGAUGCAACGCGAAGAACCUUACCAAGGCUUGACAUGAACCGGUAAUACCUGGAAACAGGUGCCCCGCUUG
Molecule: ribosomal RNA, 633 nt
Filed under: Arthrobacter sp. Se2Ps_2404
Lineage: Bacteria; Bacillati; Actinomycetota; Actinomycetes; Micrococcales; Micrococcaceae
Description: bacterial SSU rRNA
Rfam family: Bacterial small subunit ribosomal RNA
Source: RNAcentral